RNAcentral lists this ribosomal RNA (253 nucleotides) under uncultured bacterium. Its description in RNAcentral is "partial 16S ribosomal RNA". It matches the Rfam family "Bacterial small subunit ribosomal RNA", at positions 524 to 776 of the family's 1533-position model. The record is from RNAcentral.
UACGUAGGGUGCGAGCGUUAAUCGGAAUUACUGGGCGUAAAGGGUGCGCAGGCGGUUCUGCAAGUCAGGCGUGAAAGCCCCGGGCUUAACCUGGGAAUGGCGCUUGAAACUACAGGACUGGAGUAUGGCAGAGGGAGGUGGAAUUCCUGGUGUAGCGGUGGAAUGCGCAGAUAUCAGGAGGAACACCGGUGGCGAAGGCGGGAUCCUGGGCCAGUACUGACGCUGAGGAGCGAAAGCGUGGGGAGCAAACAGG